CCUACGGGUGGCAGCAGUGGGGAAUAUUGGACAAUGGGCGAAAGCCUGAUCCAGCCAUGCCGCGUGUGUGAAGAAGGCCUUCGGGUUGUAAAGCACUUUCAGUGGGGAAGAAAGCCUUGGGGCUAAUACCCUCGAGGAAGGACAUCACCCACAGAAGAAGCACCGGCUAACUCCGUGCCAGCAGCCGCGGUAAUACGGAGGGUGCGAGCGUUAAUCGGAAUUACUGGGCGUAAAGCGCGCGUAGGCGGUCUGAUAAGCCGGUUGUGAAAGCCCCGGGCUCAACCUGGGAACGGCAUCCGGAACUGUCAGGCUAGAGUGCAGGAGAGGAAGGUAGAAUUCCCGGUGUAGCAGUGAAAUGCGUAGAGAUCGGGAGGAAUACCAGUGGCGAAGGCGGCCUUCUGGACUGACACUGACGCUGAGGUGCGAAAGCGUGGGUAGCAAACAGGAUUAGAUCCCCUAGUAGUC
Molecule: ribosomal RNA, 465 nt
Filed under: Vreelandella stevensii
Lineage: Bacteria; Pseudomonadati; Pseudomonadota; Gammaproteobacteria; Oceanospirillales; Halomonadaceae
Description: partial 16S ribosomal RNA
Rfam family: Bacterial small subunit ribosomal RNA
Source: RNAcentral